This 117-nucleotide ribosomal RNA is filed under the name Danio rerio (zebrafish). The record is from RNAcentral. Lineage: Eukaryota; Metazoa; Chordata; Actinopteri; Cypriniformes; Danionidae.
CGCCACAGCCAUAUCACCCUGCAGCCCAAGACCGGUUACUCACUAAAGCUAAGCAGGGCUGAGCCUGGUUUGUACCUGGAUGGGAGACCACUAGGGAACACUAGGUUGCUGUUGGAA